This 160-nucleotide ribosomal RNA is filed under the name Coelomomyces stegomyiae. Its description in RNAcentral is "5.8S ribosomal RNA". It matches the Rfam family "5.8S ribosomal RNA". Rfam says of the family: 5.8S ribosomal RNA (5.8S rRNA) is a component of the large subunit of the eukaryotic ribosome. It is transcribed by RNA polymerase I as part of the 45S precursor that also contains 18S and 28S rRNA. Lineage: Eukaryota; Fungi; Blastocladiomycota; Blastocladiomycetes; Blastocladiales; Coelomomycetaceae. The record is from RNAcentral.
UGACUUUUGACAAUGGAUCUCUUGNCUCUUGCAUCGAUGAAGAACAUGGUGAAAUGUGAUAAGUGAAGUGAAUCGCAUUAUCGUGACUCUUCUAGUAUUUGAACGCAUAUUGCACCUAGCAAAGUUAACGCUGAGCUAGGUAUGUUUGUUUGAGAGCGAU